CAGUAGCCACGGGAACACGGAGGGAGCUAGCGUUGUUCGGAAUUACUGGGCGUAAAGCGCACGUAGGCGGUUAUUCAAGUCAGAGGUGAAAGCCCGGGGCUCAACCCCGGAACUGCCUUUGAAACUAGAUGACUAGAAUCUUGGAGAGGUCAGUGGAAUUUCGAGUGUAGAGGUGAAAUUCGUAGAUAUUCGGAAGAACACCAGUGGCGAAGGCGACUGACUGGACAAGUAUUGACGCUGAGGUGCGAAAGCGUGGGGAGCAAACAGGAUUAGAUACCCCCGUAGUCCCUGUCUCUUAUAC
RNAcentral lists this ribosomal RNA (301 nucleotides) under uncultured bacterium. RNAcentral describes it as "partial 16S ribosomal RNA". It matches the Rfam family "Bacterial small subunit ribosomal RNA", at positions 509 to 807 of the family's 1533-position model. The record is from RNAcentral.